GUUAGGAAUAUUGGACAAUGGGCGCAAGCCUGAUCCAGCCAUGCCGCGUGAACGAUGAAGGCCUUCGGGUUGUAAAGUUCUUUAGCCGAUGAUUAUAAUGACUGUAGUCGGAAAAUAAGCCCCGGCUAACUUGGUGCCAGCAGCCGCGGUAAUACGAAGGGGGCGAGCGUUAUUCGGAAUCACUGGGCGUAAAGCGUGCGUAGGCGGUCUCGUAAGUUAGGAGUGAAAGCCCAGGGCUCAACCUUGGAAUUGCUCUUAAAACUGCAAGGCUAGAAUCUCGGAGAGGAUAGCGGAAUUUCCAGUGUAGCAGUGAAAUGCGUAGAUAUUGGAAGGAACACCAGUGGCGUAAGCGGCUAUCUGGACGAGUAUUGACGCUGAGGCACGAAAGCGUGGGGAUCAAACAGGAUUAGAAACCCCAGUAGUCC
RNAcentral lists this ribosomal RNA (425 nucleotides) under uncultured bacterium. RNAcentral's name for it is "partial 16S ribosomal RNA". It matches the Rfam family "Bacterial small subunit ribosomal RNA", at positions 354 to 796 of the family's 1533-position model. The record is from RNAcentral.